UAUUCCGAGGAGCGUUGCAGUGCUACCUGGCGUUUGUGAGGGAGGACGAGGCUCGGAUCGGUCCGACGAAAGACUUUCCAACGACGCUCGCCCGCU
Molecule: non-coding RNA, 96 nt
Filed under: Paraburkholderia phymatum
Lineage: Bacteria; Pseudomonadati; Pseudomonadota; Betaproteobacteria; Burkholderiales; Burkholderiaceae
Also listed under: 1 other name
Description: Burkholderia phymatum SAH sequence
Rfam family: SAH (S-adenosyl-L-homocysteine) riboswitch aptamer
Source: RNAcentral